GUGACUGCGUACCUUUUGUAUAAUGGGUCAGCGACUUAUAUUCUGUAGCAAGGUUAACCGAAUAGGGGAGCCGAAGGGAAACCGAGUCUUAACUGGGCGUUAAGUUGCAGGGUAUAGACCCGAAACCCGGUGAUCUAGCCAUGGGCAGGUUGAAGGUUGGGUAACACUAACUGGAGGACCGAACCGACUAAUGUUGAAAAAUUAGCGGAUGACUUGUGGCUGGGGGUGAAAGGCCAAUCAAACCGGGAGAUAGCUGGUUCUCCCCGAAAGCUAUUUAGGUAGCGCCUCGUGAAUUCAUCUCCGGGGGUAGAGCACUGUUUCGGCAAGGGGGUCAUCCCGACUUACCAACCCGAUGCAAACUGCGAAUACCGGAGAAUGUUAUCACGGGAGACACACGGCGGGUGCUAACGUCCGUCGUGAAGAGGGAAACAACCCAGACCGCCAGCUAAGGUCCCAAAGUCAUGGUUAAGUGGGAAACGAUGUGGGAAGGCCCAGACAGCCAGGAUGUUGGCUUAGAAGCAGCCAUCAUUUAAAGAAAGCGUAAUAGCUCACUGGUCGAGUCGGCCUGCGCGGAAGAUGUAACGGGGCUAAACCAUGCACCGAAGCUGCGGCAGCGACACUAUGUGUUGUUGGGUAGGGGAGCGUUCUGUAAGCCUGUGAAGGUGUACUGUGAGGUAUGCUGGAGGUAUCAGAAGUGCGAAUGCUGACAUAAGUAACGAUAAAGCGGGUGAAAAGCCCGCUCGCCGGAAGACCAAGGGUUCCUGUCCAACGUUAAUCGGGGCAGGGUGAGUCGACCCCUAAGGCGAGGCCGAAAGGCGUAGUCGAUGGGAAACAGGUUAAUAUUCCUGUACUUGGUGUUACUGCGAAGGGGGGACGGAGAAGGCUAUGUUGGCCGGGCGACGGUUGUCCCGGUUUAAGCGUGUAGGCUGGUUUUCCAGGCAAAUCCGGAAAAUCAAGGCUGAGGCGUGAUGACGAGGCACUACGGUGCUGAAGCAACAAAUGCCCUGCUUCCAGGAAAAGCCUCUAAGCAUCAGGUAACAUCAAAUCGUACCCCAAACCGACACAGGUGGUCAGGUAGAGAAUACCAAGGCGCUUGAGAGAACUCGGGUGAAGGAACUAGGCAAAAUGGUGCCGUAACUUCGGGAGAAGGCACGCUGAUAUGUAGGUGAAGCGACUUGCUCGUGGAGCUGAAAUCAGUCGAAGAUACCAGCUGGCUGCAACUGUUUAUUAAAAACACAGCACUGUGCAAACACGAAAGUGGACGUAUACGGUGUGACGCCUGCCCGGUGCCGGAAGGUUAAUUGAUGGGGUUAGCGGUAACGCGAAGCUCUUGAUCGAAGCCCCGGUAAACGGCGGCCGUAACUAUAACGGUCCUAAGGUAGCGAAAUUCCUUGUCGGGUAAGUUCCGACCUGCACGAAUGGCGUAAUGAUGGCCAGGCUGUCUCCACCCGAGACUCAGUGAAAUUGAACUCGCUGUGAAGAUGCAGUGUACCCGCGGCAAGACGGAAAGACCCCGUGAACCUUUACUAUAGCUUGACACUGAACAUUGAGCCUUGAUGUGUAGGAUAGGUGGGAGGCUUUGAAGUGUGGACGCCAGUCUGCAUGGAGCCGACCUUGAAAUACCACCCUUUAAUGUUUGAUGUUCUAACGUUGGCCCGUUAUCCGGGUUGCGGACAGUGUCUGGUGGGUAGUUUGACUGGGGCGGUCUCCUCCUAAAGAGUAACGGAGGAGCACGAAGGUUGGCUAAUCCUGGUCGGACAUCAGGAGGUUAGUGCAAUGGCAUAAGCCAGCUUGACUGCGAGCGUGACGGCGCGAGCAGGUGCGAAAGCAGGUCAUAGUGAUCCGGUGGUUCUGAAUGGAAGGGCCAUCGCUCAACGGAUAAAAGGUACUCCGGGGAUAACAGGCUGAUACCGCCCAAGAGUUCAUAUCGACGGCGGUGUUUGGCACCUCGAUGUCGGCUCAUCACAUCCUGGGGCUGAAGUAGGUCCCAAGGGUAUGGCUGUUCGCCAUUUAAAGUGGUACGCGAGCUGGGUUUAGAACGUCGUGAGACAGUUCGGUCCCUAUCUGCCGUGGGCGCUGGAGAACUGAGGGGGGCUGCUCCUAGUACGAGAGGACCGGAGUGGACGCAUCACUGGUGUUCGGGUUGUCAUGCCAAUGGCACUGCCCGGUAGCUAAAUGCGGAAGAGAUAAGUGCUGAAAGCAUCUAAGCACGAAACUUGCCCCGAGAUGAGUUCUCCCUGACUCCCUGAGAGUCCUGAAGGAACGUUGAAGACGACGACGUUGAUAGGCCGGGUGUGUAAGCGCAGCGAUGCGUUGAGCUAACCGGUACUAAUGAACCGUGAGGCUUAACCUUACAACGCCGAAGGUGUUU
RNAcentral lists this ribosomal RNA (2371 nucleotides) under Escherichia coli. Its description in RNAcentral is "partial 23S ribosomal RNA". It matches the Rfam family "Bacterial large subunit ribosomal RNA", at positions 593 to 2925 of the family's 2925-position model. The record is from RNAcentral. Lineage: Bacteria; Pseudomonadati; Pseudomonadota; Gammaproteobacteria; Enterobacterales; Enterobacteriaceae. RNAcentral also lists the same sequence under 1 other name.